This 384-nucleotide unclassified non-coding RNA is filed under the name Zea mays. RNAcentral describes it as "misc RNA Zm00001eb257710". Lineage: Eukaryota; Viridiplantae; Streptophyta; Magnoliopsida; Poales; Poaceae. The record is from RNAcentral.
CAAUUUUUGUCAGCAAAUUCUGUGUCCAAUACAGCAUUGAUACCAUCAGAGGCCAGCCGUCUUCUUGGUGACAUCCCUCGUGAUGACAUUGACGGUGUUGAAGGUCUGAUACUUUUUUCAGUAAUAUUUGUGCUCUUUGAUAUAAAUGCUAGACCAUCAGAGGUGAGCCGUCUUCUUGGUGAAGCCCCUCGUGUUGCAGCUGACACUGUUAAGGGUUUGUUACUGUUUUCAACAAGAUCAAUGCUCUUUGAUGUCACUUUGACACCAUCUGAGGCGAGCCGUCUUCUUGGUGAAACCCCUCGAGCUGCAGCUGACAUGGUGACAAGUUUGUUAUUGUUUUCAACAAGAUCCAUGCUCUUUGAAAUCACAUUGACACCAUCUGAG